RNAcentral lists this transfer RNA (25 nucleotides) under Empetrum rubrum. Its description in RNAcentral is "partial tRNA-Ser". Lineage: Eukaryota; Viridiplantae; Streptophyta; Magnoliopsida; Ericales; Ericaceae. The record is from RNAcentral. RNAcentral also lists the same sequence under 4 other names.
GGAGAGAUGGCUGAGUGGUUGAUAG